GGUGAUCUGCUAAUUUAAAUUUGUGAAUACCAAACUUUAGUCACCUUCAGUAACUCAUUCAGUGGAUUAUUUUUUUUAUUUAAUAUUUUUUUAAAGCUUAUUUAUUUGACAGAGAGAACACAAACUGGAGGAGUGGCAGAGAUAGAUGUAGAGGGAGAAACAGACUCCCCACCAAGGAAGGAGCCCACCAUGGGGCUCGAUCCCAGGACCCUGAGAUCAUGACCUGAACUGAAAGCAGAUGCUUAACGACUGAGCCACCCAGGUGCCCCUCAGUGGAUUAUUGUUAGGAAGCCCUCUGAUGCAGAUGAGAAAAAUGAGGCAGAGUGAGAUAAAAUGAUUUUUCUAAACUCAGUCACUGACAAAGCUCUCUAGCAGUGAUAUAAGGAUCUGGUGGUAGCAGGAUAGCUGCUGAAGCUGCUUCCCAGCUUCAGGAAGAUGGAUUCCUAUGGAAUUGACUUCUGCUGGACACAAGUUCUUUCAGGGUCAGACGUACUCACCUAUCAUCACCACAUGGCUGCCGAUUUGUUUUUGUAGCACUUCCAUGUUUCUUCAUCAGGUUCUUUGGUGUAAUAAGGAGAAACAAGAUUUGGAGAGAGAUUUUUUUUUUCCCUCAUUACGUUUAUGGUUACUCCUGAUAUCUUGCUAAUCUACCCCUGACCUGGAUCCAUGGUAAUUUGGAAGUUUCAUUUGGACACUAGGAUGGAUAAAGGAUUUCUGGAGAAUUUUGAGUCUUCCUGGAUAGAUGUGCAUUAUGUUCAAGCUUUGUGGAGGCUUUAUU
Long non-coding RNA from Mustela putorius furo (domestic ferret), 778 nucleotides. The record is from Ensembl. Lineage: Eukaryota; Metazoa; Chordata; Mammalia; Carnivora; Mustelidae.